RNAcentral lists this long non-coding RNA (1394 nucleotides) under Ananas comosus (pineapple). Its description in RNAcentral is "long non-coding RNA (ACOM_LNC015647)". The record is from RNAcentral. Lineage: Eukaryota; Viridiplantae; Streptophyta; Magnoliopsida; Poales; Bromeliaceae.
UUUUUUCGCGAGUAUAUAUAUAUAUAUAUAUCAUGUUGAACGGUGCCGAUCGUCGAUUUGAAGGCUCCAUCAUCAAAAAUAAAUAGGUGGCAAAAGUGCCGAUUUGCUAUCAAUAGUAUUCUAGCUCUAUUAUAUAUAUAUAUAUGGGUCCGGCUACUAUACUAUUAUGAGCACGAUCGCCCUCGUACUCAUAAGUUGUUUUCGAUGAUAGAGCUUCCGAAUCGACGAUCCACACUGUUAAACGUUAAUUACAGCAUUUAAAACUUCUAGAAAUCAAAUUUUAUAAUUUUUCGUCAUCAUUUACCUUACGAUCAAGAGGUCACAAAUUUGACAAUUUUUAACGGCCGGUAUGGGAUACUUGCUAUUCUAACGGUGUAAAAGAAUUAGAAUUUAUUGAAUUUUUUAUAGAAAAUUCUAUUCACUACAUAGAUAAAGAUCAAUAACUCCAAUCUUGAAUUGAAGGAUCCGAUCAUCCUUUUUUAGGACGUCGUUCGAUUUUGACCAUUCAUUUUAUGCCCACUUGAUGGAUUUUAUUAUGAUUUCGAAAAUUUACGAAAUUUAUUUUCUAGAAGUUUCAAAUAUUCUAGAUCAUAUUUAACGGAGUGGAUCGUCGAUUCGGAAGCUCUAUCAUUGAAAACAACUUAUAAGUAUGAGGGCUCUAAUACUAAUGAUAGUAUAGUAGGCAUGGCCUAUAUAAAUAUAUAAUGACAUGUAUAAUAUAUAGGGAUAAUUACCAAUAUAUCUCUCAAAACAUCAAAAAUAUCUCAUUUAUUCCUUUUGUUUCUUUCCAAUAUACCUCUUAUACGUUUCUCCGUUAUUCCAAAAUGCUCCUACAGUUACCAAGUUAACUUGAGUUAAAGGUGAGUUAAAUAUUUAUCAGAGUUAGAAAAAAUUAAAAUAUUUCUUUUGCCUUUAACUUAAUGACAAAUAAGAAUUAUUAAUGAUAGUGGAAGGGUAUAUUUGAAAAGACUAAAAAGUAAAAUUACUUUUUUGUGCCCCUAACUUAAGAGCAAAUAAAAAAAGACGGUGAUGGUAGAAGAGUAUAUUUGAAAAAGUAGAAUAGUAAUUUUGUAGAAAUAACAGCUAUUACUAGGAUAUAUUUGAAAUAUAUUGCAAUGUAAAAAAUAUUUUUUAGUUUUAAUCUUCUAAGAUGAGUAAAUUAGAAAGUGAAAAAUUUUUCAAGGAUAUAUAAGCAAUUGCUCUAGUGUAUAUUAUAAAUUUGCAAGCAUUUAAUUUCCAAAUAAUAAUAAUAAUAUAUAGUGUUAUUACUAUUUUAUAUAAAUAACAUAUAAUAUAAUAUAAAAAAUAUAUAUAAAUAAUAUUUUCUUCAUCUUUUCCUUUCAACCAAAUAAACAAUGAUGCAAAAAAAUUUUUUUCCUAUAAACCAAACAUUA